Molecule: ribosomal RNA, 301 nt
Filed under: uncultured bacterium
Lineage: Bacteria
Description: partial 16S ribosomal RNA
Rfam family: Bacterial small subunit ribosomal RNA
Source: RNAcentral
CAGCCGCCACGGUAAUACGAAGGGGGCUAGCGUUGUUCGGAUUUACUGGGCGUAAAGGGCGCGUAGGCGGGCGAUUAAGUCAGAGGUGAAAUCCCAAGGCUCAACCUUGGAACUGCCUUUGAUACUGGUUGUCUUGAGUCCGGGAGAGGUGAGUGGAACUGCGAGUGUAGAGGUGAAAUUCGUAGAUAUUCGCAAGAACACCAGUGGCGAAGGCGGCUCACUGGCCCGGAACUGACGCUGAGGCGCGAAAGCGUGGGGAGCAAACAGGAUUAGAUACCCGGGUAGUCCCUGUCUCUUAUAC